This 254-nucleotide ribosomal RNA is filed under the name uncultured bacterium. Its description in RNAcentral is "partial 16S ribosomal RNA". It matches the Rfam family "Bacterial small subunit ribosomal RNA", at positions 524 to 776 of the family's 1533-position model. The record is from RNAcentral.
UACGUAGGGUGCAAGCGUUAAUCGGAAUUACUGGGCGUAAAGCGUGCGCAGGCGGUUUUGUAAGACAGGUGUGAAAUCCCCGGGCUUAACCUGGGAACUGCAUUGGUGACUGGCAGGCUUUGAGUGUGGCAGAGGGAGGUAGAAUUCCACGUGUAGCAGUGAAAUGCGUAGAGAUGUGGAGGAAUACCGAUGGCGAAGGCAGCCUCCUGGGCCAACACUGACGCUCAUGCACGAAAGCGUGUGGAGCAAACAGG